AUUCAAAAUCCUAAUCUUCCUUCUUUGAAUCUAACAAUAAUGUUCUCAAAUCUAUUUGUCACGUGGGCAUUUAUCAUGGAACAAUAUAUUUUUUACCAGCAAGACAGAAUCCCUUUGUUUUGCCAAAGGAUGAUUAAAACUGAUAAUUUUAAUCAUUUCAAGUAGAAUCUGCAGAGAGGUUUCCUAGCCACAGAUGGAUCAAGCAAAGUCACCAUGAAACUAUACCAUUUUAAUUGUAUUUCCUCUGCUCUGAAAGCUAAAAAGCUAAAGCUCCAGAAACCUAGGCAUUUGAACUAAUUUUUUUUUAAUGUACUGGAUUACUGAACCAUCAAAACCAUUUCAGUAAUAAGCAACUUGUUUUUCUGAGUCUAGGAUUUUGUGAAACAACAGAGAAGACAAUUUUACAACUGAAAAGGAACCUAAAAGCAUUCAUCUACCCGACUUCUUAUUUUAUAGAUGAGGAAAACAGGCCCAGAAGCUCUGAAAUGCCUUUCCUAGACAUACACAGAUGAAAAACUAGAAGGCUACAGCUCUCUCCUCACUCCUGCUUUCUGUGCCUAACAAGAUGUGAGACUUGGGACCAAGGAAGUCUUGGAAGGCCUAAAUCAGGAGAAAGAAGUUAACAUCGAUCAUAGGAAUCAGGCUCCAACCUGUACCGUAUAAUAUAUAUACCAAGAAACACAAACAUCAGGAAAGGAAGAAAGAUGAAGAUCUGCCUAAAAGUUCAGAAGCUGUACCAUCUCUGUGAAACAGCACUGCUGAAUUGUAGCCUGGACUAAUGACAUCGGCUUCACCUGGGAGCUUAUUAAAAUACAAAAUUUCAGCCCCACCUACACCGAACUGCAAGAUCCCAAGAAUCUAUAUUUUAACAAGCUCUCCAGGUGAUUCUCAUGCAUCCUGACAUGUCAAGUGGAAAGGUUUAUAGGAAACAUUGAUCAGUGAUCCUUGAAACAGUGAUCCUUGACAUACAUGACUUCCCAAGCAUUCUGAGAAGCAAUCAAGUGGAAAAUCAUGAGGAGGGUAAGACAAAACCAGAUGGCCCUAUGCAUCUAGAAGAUGUUGUUCCAGUAAAGAUGGCCUGAGCACCAGAAGCACUUCAGCAACCUCUGAGCAGAGGGAAAAAAAGAACAGAUAUAAUAUUGCAAAGAUUGCACAACUUAAGUGGCUCUCCCAAAGAGUACUUCAUUGACUCCUUGAUUGAAAGAAGGCCUUCUUGACUAUCUACUGCUCUAUACCCAGGACCUGGAAGUGUCCCUUGCUAGUAACUGACACUCAAUAAAUAUAUGUUGAAUAAAAGGAAGACAGAGGAAAAGGAAAUGUUCUUUAUCCAGGUCAGAAAACCAGCAGAGAAGCAAAAUGAAAUAUAAAAUGAAGACCAUAUUUUACAGGGAGUAGUUCAGCUGGUGAGUCAUUGACUUGCUUUGCUGACAGUGUAAUUUUUAAGGGUGAGUAUGUAAUAAAAGGCCAAUUCUAGCUAUGGAGGAAGUAAUCAGUAGAUAUCAUUUAAAAGCAAAUUUAUUAAAGUAAUAGUUAAAUUGCACAAUUGUACCCAGCAAAUGCUUAUUUCAAUUCCAAAAGAAAAAAAAUAGUGUACCAUGUGGUUAGGAGAAUUAAAGUCUCUCAUCUCUUAGUAAAAAAUUAUCCCAAGACCACUUGCUUAGUUCCUGCUAUGGGCAAGAGAGAGUAUUUAACUCUUCUACCAUGAAGUAAUUAUUAUUGUACCAUCUUACAUAUGAAAAACUGAGACUCAAAGGUGGAAAAUGACUAGUCUAAGCUCAUAUAACUGGCCCAAAGUCAUCCAAUUUAAAUCCUAGACAAUCUUCCUUUAUGAAAUGUAGAGACACAUUACCUCUAUGAAAUAUAUUGUUCAAAAAUCGCCAACAAAUACAUGAAAAAAAUGUUCAACAUCUUCAGCAAUUAGGAAAAUGCAAAUCAAAACUAUACUGAGAUUUCAUCUCAUUGCAGUAAGAAUGGCAGCCAUCAAGAAUACGAAUGAUAAUAAAUGCUGGAGAGGAUUUAGGGUAAAGGAAUAAUUUUACACUGCUGGAAUGGUAAAUUAGUACAAUCACUGUGAAAAUCAGUAUGGAUUUUCCUGAAAAGACUAGGAAUGGAAGCACCAUAUGACCCAGCUCUCCUACUCCUUGGUGUAUAUCAUAAAGAAUUAAAGUGAGCGUACCAUAGUGAUGCAUGCAUCCUGAUGUUUACAGCAGCCUAAUUCACAAUAGCCAAGUCAUGGAAACAGUCUAGGUGCCCAACAACAGAUGAAUGGAUAAAGAAAAUUUGCGAUAUAUACAUGAUGGAAUUUUAUUCAGUCAUAAAACAGAGUGAAAUUAUAUCAUUUGCAGGAAAAUGGUUGGAACUUGAGACCAUGAUGUUAAGUAAAAUAAGGGAAACAAAAAGUCAAAGGUUAUAUCUUUUCUCUCACAUGUGGAAGCUAGAGAAGAAAAAGGAAAAGAAAGAUGUGUGGGGAGGGAAUCUCAUGAAAAUAGAAGGGAAAACAGUAGAAUAAAGGAAGGAGUGCAGAGGAAGGGAGGAUCAAGGGAAAGAGGAGGUACUGAGGAGCAAAAUUGACCAAAUUAUAUUGUUACAUUGUGUGCAGGCAUAAAUAUGUAACAAUGAAUUCCACUGUUAUACAUAAUUAUAAUGCACCAAAAAAUAAAUUAGAAAAAAAGAAAUAUUGUUCAAACUUAUAAACCACCUUAUUAAAUAUUAAGAAUUUUAUCAAGCUUCUCUAUGUACUAUUAUUGAAAAGUUUCUCUUAAAAUGAAAUGCUUUCAUUUUAAUCCUGUUUCUAAUGGAGUUCUAUUAUAAUAUUCAAAGUACAUUUCAUAGAACAGUAGGGCCCAGGGCAUAAUAGAAACAUUCUUACUCAAAUAGAACUCUUUAAAAAAUCAUGUUCUAGAUAAAGUUAAUGUAUAAUGAUAAAAUAUUCAUGUAAACCAAGCCACACAAUUCAAACCAAGCACAGAAGUCAUAUUAUGUCUGACAACAGUUCAAUGUCUAAAACCAAAAACAAAUGGCAAGACAUCAUUGCCUUAAAGUUACUCUUCUAACUCUGGAUUUUUUUUUCUGUCUCCUCACUGAAGCACAACUCAACUUAUUUAUUUCUAGAAGCCAGUAGCUUCUCCAUAUACAGGGGCAGAAUUUAGAAACAGAGAAUUUCAAAAUAAAUUGAAAGAAAACUAAUGAGGAAAUUGAUUUCUAGAAACAUACAGCCAACAGCAUCUGAAAUAUAACUCCUAGGAGUCCCCAGGCAAUAUUCCAGGUUUUCUCCUUAUUUUAUAAAUUCAUACAGUCAUUGCAUUUUAAUGCCCAAAGCAAGUGGAAACUUCCACUCCUUGAUUUUGAUGCAUACUGAAGAUGAGAGUAGAUGAAGUAACUUGUCCAGUAUGGCACAGCUUGUUAGAAAGCCUUCUGUGUCUCUUGAUAAGAUUCACUUUUACCAACUGAAAACUAUAUUUCAAAUAGCUCCAUAUAGUAGGCUACGCUCACAAAUUAGCAAACCACUAUACAUUCAGUAAUGAUUAUCUUUUUAUCAAAUUGUUAAAAUAAAAUGUUAUAUAAUGUUUAAAAAUUAUUUUUGUAGAAACAUGAACCUUUACAAAAAAAAAAAAGGUCUGGUGAAUCUAUAAAUAAAUAAGUUGAAGUUAAGGGUAAGCAAUCUAGCUUGUACUUGCAAGAUUCAACAGUAGAAUUUAGAACAAUCUACUUUAUACCUAGAUAGGAUAAAAGAGACUGAGGCAGAGGAUUCAGAGCUAAGAUAUUAUUAGCAAAAUAUUUCUUUAAUAGAAGUGUGCCAAUUGGCACAGGAUACACAGGGACCAAUUUGGAAUGGAAAAAGAGAAAGGAUCAAAGUGCCAUGGAAAGUAGGAGCGAAUGAGAAGGAGCUGAGAGAUGAAUCCAUGUAGCCUAACUCAUUUUCCUGCCUUGGCAGGCUUUCAGGACCAGCAGAACACUGUUCUGUCAAUGGAUGUGUUCAGCAAGGGUUUAAAAAAUAAAACACUUCUACAGCCCUGCCAAGCUACAUUUAAAAAAUUAAAAACCACUGACAAUACUCUCGGGGAUGUGAGGUUCCAAGAGUCAGGAAAGUACAGCCCUGAGGUUUCUGCUUAGUACCUUCUUCCUUUUGCUAUAUUUCCCACACAGCCCUUUCACACAGAUACAGCAGGGAGAUCGUAGAGUCAAUUGAUACGUUCUAUGCCAUGUUCCUUAGAUGCUGAAAGCCUUUUUAAAAAUCAUUGGCAUCAUUUUUUAUUAUUUUAAUCAUUUGCAAUUUCAUGUUGGAGUUUGACAUAAGGCCAUUUUCCAUUUUUGUUGCCAGGAAUAGAACUUGGUCGGCUGCCUCUCUCAACUAGUUCCACACUAUUUCUCCCCACUAUCUAUAAUGUGACCUAGUUUUGAUGAGAGGAAAGAGUUCAUAAUCCUUAAAUACAGCUCCUGGGGGGAAGCUCUUUGCCAGACAUGGGAAGCUCCUGACCCUCAUGAAAACUCAGGAUGGGUAGGUUAAAUGUCUGGUCCUUAGAGAGAGUAGCAGAGUGUUGGAAAUAGGGGAAGGUUUCUUGGAAGGUCAAAUUAAAAGGAGAAGGCUGCAUCUCCUGAUCAGAUCACCAGAAUGGGAAGCCAGACACUGGACAUGUGAAUGACAUUGGAGCCCUGCAAAACCAUUCACUUGACUUAUGAAUCUACCACUGAAGUUCCAGAUGCCAUCUCCUCAGCCAGUUCCGUGCGAUGACCUCCCAACUCUUCUCCCUACUCCUGUAUCUAUAUCAACUACAGAUCAAAACAGCAUAAUGUUUGUAUAAUAUGAAUCAUAUCACUUUACUACUCUGGGUACAACCCUUCCCAUAGGACUUAGAAUAAUUUGAUUAUUAUCCAUAAACCCUAUGUAAUCUUACCUCUUCCUCUUUCCCCUGAUCAACUUUUUCUCAAGCUCUAAAUACAAGCGGACAAUAACCUCUUCUCUGCCCUGUCCCAUAGCACUUUGGAUAGGUGACAUCUUCUCAUUCUUUAAGCCUCAGUUUAACUGUCACCGUUUCCUUGCCCUAUCAUCUAAAGUGACCUGGUCAGACUUGGUGACAUUACCCCAGUAUUCCCUUCACUGCUUUUUCGUUGUCUGUUUGAUAUUUGUUCUUUUGGUUUUCAAUCUGUCGUCCACAUCUAGAAGAAAAGCUCCAUGAAGACAGAACCUCGCCUGAUUCGUGUACCACUCCAGCACUCAACACCGAGCAAUGCCAGCCACAGGGUGGACUCUAAUAAAUAUUGAUAAUAUUGAUGAAUAUUGGAAUUGGCUCCACCUCUUCCUGGAUACCUUUCUAAAGUUACUUACUCUCCAUUGCCUUGGUUUCUCCAUCUAUGAA
Molecule: long non-coding RNA, 5357 nt
Organism: Marmota monax (woodchuck)
Lineage: Eukaryota; Metazoa; Chordata; Mammalia; Rodentia; Sciuridae
Exons: 4
Source: RefSeq, a predicted model, not a curated record